RNAcentral lists this ribosomal RNA (437 nucleotides) under uncultured Oscillospiraceae bacterium. RNAcentral's name for it is "bacterial SSU rRNA". It matches the Rfam family "Bacterial small subunit ribosomal RNA", at positions 341 to 792 of the family's 1533-position model. Lineage: Bacteria; Bacillati; Bacillota; Clostridia; Eubacteriales; Oscillospiraceae. The record is from RNAcentral.
ACGGGAGGCAGCAGUGGGGAAUAUUGGGCAAUGGGCGCAAGCCUGACCCAGCGACGCCGCGUGAGGGAAGAAGGUCUUCGGAUUGUAAACCUUUGUAGACAGGGACGAAACAAAUGACGGUACCUGUAAAGUAAGCCACGGCUAACUACGUGCCAGCAGCCGCGGUAAUACGUAGGUGGCGAGCGUUAUCCGGAUUUACUGGGUGUAAAGGGUGUGUAGGCGGGGAAGCAAGUCAGAUGUGAAAUACCGAGGCUUAACUUCGGUACUGCAUUUGAAACUGCAUCUCUUGAGAGUCGGAGAGGUUAUCGGAAUUCCCAGUGUAGCGGUGAAAUGCGUAGAUAUUGGGAGGAACACCAGUGGCGAAGGCGGAUAACUGGACGACAACUGACGCUGAGACACGAAAGCGUGGGGAGCAAACAGGAUUAGAUACCCUGGUA